RNAcentral lists this ribosomal RNA (402 nucleotides) under uncultured bacterium. Its description in RNAcentral is "bacterial SSU rRNA". It matches the Rfam family "Bacterial small subunit ribosomal RNA", at positions 358 to 776 of the family's 1533-position model. The record is from RNAcentral.
GGAAUAUUGCACAAUGGGGGAAACCCUGAUGCAGCGACGCCGCGUGAAGGAAGAAGUAUCUCGGUAUGUAAACUUCUAUCGGCAGGGAAGAAAACGGACGGUACCUGACUAAGAAGCCCCGGCUAACUACGUGCCAGCAGCCGCGGUAAUACGUAGGGGGCGAGCGUUAUCCGGAUUUACUGGGUGUAAAGGGAGCGUAGACGGCUGGGCAAGCCUGAUGUGAAAGGCGGGGGCGCAACCCUCGGACUGCAUUGGGAACUGUCCGGCUGGAGCGCCGGAGGGGUAAGCGGAAUUCCUGGUGUAGCGGUGAAAUGCGUAGAUAUCAGGAGGAACACCGGUGGCGAAGGCGGCUUACUGGACGGCGACUGACGUUGAUGCUCGAAAGCGUGGGGAGCGAACAGG